RNAcentral lists this ribosomal RNA (1367 nucleotides) under Kurixalus naso (long-snouted treefrog). RNAcentral's name for it is "partial 16S ribosomal RNA". It matches the Rfam family "Bacterial large subunit ribosomal RNA", at positions 425 to 2561 of the family's 2925-position model. Lineage: Eukaryota; Metazoa; Chordata; Amphibia; Anura; Rhacophoridae. The record is from RNAcentral.
CCAGAAAUCUAGCCUAAAAUAUAAUCAAAUAAAUACACCUUUUAUAGUCUUUUUAGUUAAAACAUUUUAACUGUUAAGUAGAGGAGAUCAAAAACACCUAAGAGCUUAAGAGAUAGUACCGCAAGGGAAACAUGAAAUAAAAAUGAAACAAAUCUAAAGCCUAUAAUAGCAGAGACUGUACCUCGUACCUUUUGCAUCAUGGUCUAGCUAGUCUAACCAGGCAAAAUGAAAAUUUAGUCUGCCAUCCCGAAACUAAGCGAGCUACUUCAAAACAGCCAUAGAGCCAACCCUUCCCUGUAGCAAAAGGGUGGGAAGAUUUUUAAGUAGAAGUGAUAAACCUAUCGAGCUUAGAGAUAGCUGGUUAUUCAGAAAAAGAAUAUUAGUUCUGCCUUAAAUCUCCACAUGUUAACAAACCUACAAAAAGAUUUUUAGAGUUACUCAAUUAAGGAACAGCUUAAUUGAAAAAGGAUACAACCUAAACAACAGGGUAAAUUAACCCAUGCUACACAAGUGGGCCUAAAAGCAGCCACCUUUUAAAAAGCGUUAAAGCUUAAUUUAACCUUAUAUAAACCCCUCAAUUAUUUAUGAACCCUUACCCCUUACUGAAUGAUUUUAUAAUAUAUAAAAAACACCAUGCUAGAACUAGUAACAAGAAUUCAACAUUCUCCAAAAUGCAAGUGUAAGCCAAAAUGGAUCCCCCAUUGGCAAUUAACGAAAAUGAGUAAUCUGCAGUAACAUAACAAGAAAAAUCUGCACUUUACAAUCGUUAACCUAACACCAGAACAUUCCCGGAAAGAUUAAAAGAAAAAGAAGGAACUCGGCAAAUUUCAACCCCGCCUGUUUACCAAAAACAUCGCCUCUUGCCAACAAUAAGAGGUCCAGCCUGCCCAGUGAUAGAAUUCAACGGCCGCGGUACCCUAACCGCGCGAAGGUAGCACAAUCACUUGUUCUUUAAAUAGGGACUUGUAUCAACGGCACCACGAGGAUUGUACUGUCUCCUUUCUCUAAUCAGUGAAACUGAUCUCCCCGUGAAAAAGCGGGGAUACAUAUAUAAGACGAGAAGACCCCAUGGAGCUUUAAACCUACAGCAACUCAAUUAUAAAAUUCUUCACAAUCUUAGAGAAAUGACUAUUGGUUUUAGGUUGGGGUGACCACGGAGUAAAAACUAACCUCCACAACGCACAAACCUAAAUUUUUAUUUAAGAGCCACAACUCUAAAAAUUAGCACACUAACGUAUACUGAUCCGAUAAUCGAUUAAUGAACCAAGUUACCCUGGGGAUAACAGCGCAAUCUAUUUAAAGAGUUCAUAUCGACAAAUAGGCUUACGACCUCGAUGUUGGAUCAGGGUAUCCCAGUGGUGCAGCCG